CCGCCGUGGGUGGCAGUCGGCCGCCCCGACUCGCCGGAAAAUCCAACUAUUUCCAAAAAUUACCAAAAUUUACAGAAAUGAAGAUCUCAAUGAGUAGAGUAAACUUUAUACCUGUGGUCAAUGCCAAUUUGGCCUGGAAAGGCUCCAAUUCCAUCAAACCCGUGAAGAACCCUAGAAAUGGGUGAGUUCCAAUUCGACCUCAAAUCAACUCCGCUGUCCCAACCAAUGCUUGGCCUUUGUUCUAGGCCUUAAGAGGAUGUUAUGAGUGGUGACAAUUGAAAGGAAUUGCUUCGGGAUUAGGUGAUUCGAAGCCAAAUCUCUCCAAUUUUGAGAUGGAAUGGAUAGAGGAAGGCGCCUAGAGUCUUUCCCAUGAGAUUUCUGGAAGCAAUUCGUCGAAAAAACG
Molecule: long non-coding RNA, 403 nt
Filed under: Malus domestica (apple)
Lineage: Eukaryota; Viridiplantae; Streptophyta; Magnoliopsida; Rosales; Rosaceae
Description: long non-coding RNA (MDOM_LNC013167)
Source: RNAcentral